GGGUAAAAUUAAAAAAAAAUUAUAAUUAAUAAAAAAAAUUUUAAUAUUAAAAAUAAAUAAAUGGGGGUUUAAGUAUUUUUAAUAGAAAAAAUUAAUAUUUUUAUAGUUAAAUAUUACUGUAAAGGAAUAUUUUAAAUAGUUGAAAAAAAAAAUAAUUAAAAAGUAGAUUUAAUUUAUUGUAUCUUGUGUAUCAGAGUUUAUUAAAUAAUAAUAAUUUAUUUAAAUAAAUCUCGAAUUUAAAAGAGUUAAUUAAUUAAAAAAUUUAAUGUUGUAUAAUUAUUUUUAAUAAUUAAUUGGAAAUGAAAUGUUAAUCGUUUUUAAAUAUAUCUAGUUUUUUUAGAAAUAAAUUUAAUUUAAAAUUAAAAUAAUUUUAUAAUUAUUUAAUUAAUUAUGAAAAUUUGAAAUUUAAUAUUUUAGGGGAUAAGCUUUAAAUUAAAAAUUUAUAAUUAAAUUAAUAAAAGAUUAAAAUUUUUAAUAUUUAUAUUGUUUAAAAAUUAUAGUUUAUUAUAAAAAAUUUUAAUAAAAAUAAAAUUUAAAAUAAAAAUUUAAAUUUUUAUAAAAAAAUAAUUUAUAAUUUAUUAAAAUUAGUAAUAAUGAUAAAAUUAGUAUAAUAUGGUAUAUAUAUAUAUAUAUAUAUAUAAUUUAAAUAAAAAUUUGUUAGAAAUUAAUUUAAAGGAAUUCGGCAAAAAUUUAUGUUCACUUGUUUAUCAAAAACAUGUCUUUUUGAUUAUAAUUUAAAGUCUAAUCUGCCCACUGAUAAUAAAAAUUAAAGGGCUGCAGUAUAUUGACUGUACAAAGGUAGCAUAAUCAUUAGUCUUUUAAUUGGAGACUUGUAUGAAAGAUUUGAUGAGAUAUAGACUGUCUCUAUUUUAAAAUUAGAAAUUAAUUUUUUAGUAAAAAAGCUAAAAUAAAAUUAAAAGACGAGAAGACCCUAUAGAGUUUUAUAUUUUAUUUUUUUUUUGUAAGAUAAAUAUAUAUAUAUAUAAAUAAUUAAAGAAGAUAAUAAAAUAUUUUAUUGGGGUGAUAAAAAAAUUUAAUAAACUUUUUUUAUUUUUUAACGUAGAUAAAUGAGCUAUUGAUCCAUUAUUAAUGAUUAAAAGAAAAAAUUACCUUAGGGAUAACAGCGUAAUAUUUUUUUUUAGUACAAAUAAAAAAAAAAGUUUGCGACCUCGAUGUUGGAUUAAGAUAAAAUUUAAAUGCAGAAGUUUAAAAUUUUGAUCUGUUCGAUCAUUAAAAUCUUACAUGAUCUGAGUUCAAACCGGUGUGAGCCAGGUUGGUUUCUAUCUUUAAUAAGUAAAAAUAUUUUAGUACGAAAGGAUUAAAUAUUUAAAAUAAUUUUAUUUAUUUGAAUAUUAAUAAAUAUAAAUA
RNAcentral lists this ribosomal RNA (1368 nucleotides) under Precis archesia. RNAcentral describes it as "16S ribosomal RNA". The record is from RNAcentral. Lineage: Eukaryota; Metazoa; Arthropoda; Insecta; Lepidoptera; Nymphalidae.